GGAUUUACAGCAGCCGAUUCUGACUCAGAAUAAGCAGAAAACGGAUUCACAGCAGACGGUCUUCCUGACGCUCAAAGAAGGCUGACUGCUCACGCCAGCCCAUGCCUGCCCGCUCCCUUUAAAAUGCGGCGGGGGCAGCCGCCAGGCUCCGGAGCGGCAGGCAUGACCCAGCUGGACGUGACCCAGGGAGCAGCUCCUGCGCUCAGUCUGAGCCUGGGAAGAGUUCUGGAGUGGACACCUGGGACCCCAGCGGGACCCCCAGCCCGGAGCAUCGAGGGCCCCCCUGAGGCGGAUCUUCCAAGCGGGGGGCAGAACUCGCCGCCCGGG
This 327-nucleotide long non-coding RNA is filed under the name Dasypus novemcinctus (nine-banded armadillo). Its description in RNAcentral is "lncRNA (ENSDNOG00000052600.1)". The record is from RNAcentral. Lineage: Eukaryota; Metazoa; Chordata; Mammalia; Cingulata; Dasypodidae.